UAUCUACACCAUAAAAUGUGGGGGAUUUAAAGGCUAUGGGAGACUCCCUUUGAAAACUACUCCAGAGACAGUCUUUUUAAUCCAGGAUACUUGAAGUGGAUAAAAUGAGAUUGCAAAAGGGAUGUAAAAAUGGAAUUUGGUGAACAACUUCAGGGAAGCAACCAUGACGAAAGACGCUUACUUUUCACCGCGUGUUGUGCAGAACGUGCUGGGGAACAGGGAAGGCUGUGUCACAAGUGAGUCUGGACUAGUCCACAGGUGAGAAAGGACACCUUAUUGGAGAUUAUGGCAAUUAAGGUCAAUCAUCCAUCUAUCUACUCAUCUCAAAAAUAUUUGAAAAAGUGUCUUCUGUGAGUGAUGUUGGGAACAUAUGGAAUCCACUGACUUCAGGAAAUAUUUUCAGAGUGCACACAUAUUUCUUCAAGACGUUAACAUCCCAGGGGAGGAGGAGGAAUAAAAACAUGACAGGGAGUAAUUUAAAAUGGCAGGUACUGCAGUUUUCUCUUCCUGUGCUUGA
Jaculus jaculus (lesser Egyptian jerboa) is the source of this 517-nucleotide long non-coding RNA. RefSeq lists it as uncharacterized. The transcript is spliced from 3 exons. NCBI's taxonomy places the organism in Eukaryota, Metazoa, Chordata, Mammalia, Rodentia, Dipodidae. The record is from RefSeq and is a predicted model, not a curated record.